GGAGGGUUUAACAAAACUAGGUAUCAAAGGAGUAGAAUACCAGGUAUUUGCCCACGAUGCCGUAGAGGGAGACAUUGGGCUAAUGAAUGCCGUUCUCAAACCACCAUAGAGGGUACUCCAUUAUCAAAAAACGAACAAGGACCAGGUGUUUAUCCACAAUAUCGUGGAGAAAGGCAUCGGGCUCCAUUGCCAAAAAACGGACAGGGGGGCCCAAUGCUCCGGGGCCCA
This 228-nucleotide long non-coding RNA is filed under the name Marmota monax (woodchuck). The record is from RNAcentral. Lineage: Eukaryota; Metazoa; Chordata; Mammalia; Rodentia; Sciuridae.